This 499-nucleotide ribosomal RNA is filed under the name uncultured Glomeromycotina. Its description in RNAcentral is "partial small subunit ribosomal RNA". It matches the Rfam family "Eukaryotic small subunit ribosomal RNA", at positions 591 to 1092 of the family's 1831-position model. Lineage: Eukaryota; Fungi; Glomeromycota. The record is from RNAcentral.
CCAAUAGCGUAUAUUAAAGUUGUUGCAGUUAAAAAGCUCGUAGUUGAAUUUCGGGAUCAAAUUGUCGGUCGUGCCUCGGUACGUACUGGCGUUAUUGGUUCCUCCCUUCUGAAGAACCGCGAUGUCAUUAAUUUGGUGUCGCGGGGAAUCAGGACUGUUACUUUGAAAAAAUUAGAGUGUUUAAAGCAGGCUCGCGCUUGAAUACAUUAUCAUGGAAUAAUGAAAUAGGACGUUUGAUUCUAUUUUGUUGGUUUCUAGGAUCGACGUAAUGAUUAAUAGGGAUAGUUGGGGGCAUUAGUAUUCAAUGGUCAGAGGUGAAAUUUGUGGAUUUAUUGAAGACUAACUACUGCGAAAGCAUUUGCCAAGGAUGUGUUCAUUAAUCAAGAACGAAAGUUAGGGGAUCGAAGACGAUCAGAUACCGUCGUAGUCUUAACCAUAAACUAUGCCGACUAGGGAUCGGAUGAUGUUAAUUUUUUAAUGACUCAUUCGGCGCCUUACG